Molecule: non-coding RNA, 30 nt
Filed under: Rattus norvegicus (Norway rat)
Lineage: Eukaryota; Metazoa; Chordata; Mammalia; Rodentia; Muridae
Source: RNAcentral
UNGUGCAUCAUCAGUCUUUGCUUACACUGU